UCUCCGUAGGUGAACCUGCGGAAGGAUCAUUCAUAAUAAAGUGUUUUAUGGCACUUUUUAAAAAUCCAUAUCCACCUUGUGUGCAAUGUUAGAUCUCGUCAAUCUUGGCGAGAUUUUUAUACAUCAACUCAUUCUUUAACUAAUUUGUCGGAAAAAUAUUAUGAAUACUUAAUUCAAAAUACAACUUUCAACAACGGAUCUCUUGGCUCUC
This 211-nucleotide unclassified non-coding RNA is filed under the name plant metagenome. RNAcentral describes it as "partial contains small subunit ribosomal RNA, internal transcribed spacer 1, and 5.8S ribosomal RNA". The record is from RNAcentral.